UAGGUUGUAGCUAAAUUUUAAGCGCUCCAUUUACGCUGGAGGGAUUGUCUUUGUGGGCACUACUUAA
This 67-nucleotide transfer RNA is filed under the name Macrobrachium lanchesteri. RNAcentral's name for it is "tRNA-Val". Lineage: Eukaryota; Metazoa; Arthropoda; Malacostraca; Decapoda; Palaemonidae. The record is from RNAcentral.